CCUACGGGAGGCAGCAGUGGGGAAUAUUGCACAAUGGGGGAAACCCUGAUGCAGCGACGCCGCGUGAGUGAGGAAGUAUUUCGGUAUGUAAAGCUCUAUCAGCAGGGAAGAAAAUGACGGUACUUGACUAAGAAGCCCCGGCUAAUAACGUGCUAGCAGCCGCGGUAAUACGUAGGGGGCAAGCGUUAUCCGGAUUUACUGGGUGUAAAGGGAGCGUAGGCGGUUAAUCAAGCCAGAAGUGAAAACCCAGGGCUUAACCAUGGGAUUGCUUUAGAAACUGAGUAGCUAGAGUGCAGGAGAGGUAAGCGGAAUUCCUAGUGUAGCGGUGAAAUGCGUAGAUAUUAGGAAGAACACCAGUGGCGAAGGCGGCUUACUGGACUGUAACUGACGUUGAGGCUCGAAAGCGUGGGGAGCGAACAGGAUUAGAUACCCGAGUAGUC
This 440-nucleotide ribosomal RNA is filed under the name uncultured bacterium. Its description in RNAcentral is "partial 16S ribosomal RNA". It matches the Rfam family "Bacterial small subunit ribosomal RNA", at positions 338 to 795 of the family's 1533-position model. The record is from RNAcentral.